AACAGGGAUUGCCCUAGUAACGGCGAGUGAAGCGGCAACAGCUCAAAUUUGAAAUCUGGCCUUUCAGGUCCGAGUUGUAAUUUGUAGAGGAUGCUUCGGCGUUGGACCCGACCUAAGUUCCUUGGAACAGGACGUCACAGAGGGUGAGAAUCCCGUACGUGGCCGGUGUCCCUCGCCAUGUGAAGCUCCUUCGACGAGUCGAGUUGUUUGGGAAUGCAGCUCUAAAUGGGAGGUAAAUUUCUUCUAAAGCUAAAUACUGGCCAGAGACCGAUAGCGCACAAGUAGAGUGAUCGAAAGAUGAAAAGCACUUUGGAAAGAGAGUUAAAAAGUACGUGAAAUUGUUGAAAGGGAAGCGCUUGCAACCAGACCUGCCCGCGGUCGCUCAUCCAGGCUUCUGCCUGGUGCACUCUUCCGCGGUCAGGCCAGCAUCGGUUCGGGCGGUCGGACAAAGGCGGCGGGAAUGUGGCUCCCCUCGGGGAGUGUUAUAGCCCGCCGUGUAAUGCGGCCAGUCCGGACUGAGGUCCGCGCUUCGGCUAGGAUGCUGGCGUAAUGGUUGUAAGCGGCCCGUCUUGAAACACGGACCAAGGAGUCUAACAUCUGUGCGAGUGUUUGGGUGUCAAGCCCGGACGCGUAAUGAAAGUGAACGGAGGCGGGAACCUUUGGGUGCACCGUCGACCGAUCCUGAUGUCUUCGGAUGGAUUUGAGUAAGAGCAUAGCUGUUGGGACCCGAAAGAUGGUGAACUAUGCCUGAAUAGGGUGAAGCCAGAGGAAACUCUGGUGGAGGCUCGCAGCGGUUCUGACGUGCAAAUCGAUCGUCAAAUUUGGGCAUAGGGGCGAAAGACUAAUCG
RNAcentral lists this ribosomal RNA (848 nucleotides) under Hysterobrevium rosae. RNAcentral's name for it is "partial large subunit ribosomal RNA". It matches the Rfam family "Eukaryotic large subunit ribosomal RNA", at positions 67 to 937 of the family's 3401-position model. The record is from RNAcentral. Lineage: Eukaryota; Fungi; Ascomycota; Dothideomycetes; Hysteriales; Hysteriaceae.